This 1240-nucleotide long non-coding RNA is filed under the name Fukomys damarensis (Damara mole-rat). RNAcentral's name for it is "lncRNA (ENSFDAG00000027664.1)". The record is from RNAcentral. Lineage: Eukaryota; Metazoa; Chordata; Mammalia; Rodentia; Bathyergidae.
UGGGUCACUUGCUUCCCCUUUGACCUGACUAGUAUGGGGCACUUAGAUGAUCUGUAUCUUUUUUUUUUUUUUUGGUACCAGAGAUCGAACUCAGGACUUCGCGCUUUCGAGCCAGGCGGUGGAACCACUGAGCCAAAUCCCCUGCUAGGUGAUCUGUAUCUUAAACAGACUGCUGCUAAUUUUAACAGAUAACAGGAACAUCCUCUGAGGACUUGGGUGACACAGACAGAAGAAGCUGCACACUCUGGAAAUUCUAUAGAAGGGUAUUGUGGGCCCUGCUUCUGAACAGGUAUUGGGAAACAAAACAGAAUUUUAUCAUUAUGGGAUACCUUAACCCUCUCCCAGAAUUGCCGUACAGAAUUUGCGAAGUGAUUGCUUGUUUCCCUGCCUGGGUCGUGUUCUGGACCUCUGGCUCCUUGAAGGAGGCAGUGGUCAGCAUCUAUUCCCUUUGGGUCCUUGGGGCCUAACAUGGGGCAGGGCAUGUAGAUAGGCUCAGAAAAUAUUUUCUGAAUGAACAAAUGAAAGAAUGAGAGGUGGUGGGGGUUUGAUGACCUCUUAAGGUCACUGGAUGGCUACCCCAUGUCCACCUUUGGAACCACAAUAAGGUCCUUGGUGUUGCUUUUGGGGCUACAGAGCUGACUUUAGCAGUUUUCUUAUCAGAAGCCUUACAGUGCUUGUUGAAGUGGAGAGGAAAAGAGCGUGGAGAAAUUUUAAGGGGGAUUCAUCAUCCCGAGGUGGAGCCCGGAGGACAGGAAAUGGGGGGCGCUGUUAACAGGAAAUUCCUUUAGGGACCAAUGGGCAGGAUUAUUGCCGGGAACUUUACUUAAUUCGGACCUAGAGCUGCUGACCAAGGGUCCCCUUCAGACUCAUAUGCCCAUAGAAUUCAAGGAAGGAGGCCAUCCCUGUACUGCCCUUUGUCCUCACAAAAAAACGCUAAAUAGCGGCCCAGGAUUUUAAGAGUGGCUCUUGGUUUGAUGCCAUGUGGAGGAUGAGGAGGAAACUGCUUCCAGAGUGCGGAUGAGUAGGAGACCACUGUGUCCAGGGCUGUCUUCGUGGGUGAGAAUUGGGGUCAGGUUGGCCUUUUAUGAUGGGAGACAUCUGGACACAUGGGGAGAAAGGGCCCAGAGCACGAACAAAGCACACAAAUAGAGAAGGGCAGUGUGUGCUUCGGAGGCCAGAAGUUCCUGGCAAUCUCAGCAACAUGAGUAGUCAGGCGGACAGGUGAGAUCAGAGGCUCGGU